CGUACACGGUGGAUGCCUGGGCAGUCAGAGGCGAUGAAGGACGUACUAACUUGCGAUAAGCGCAGAUAAGGCAGUAAGAGCCGUUUGAGUCUGCGAUUUCCGAAUGGGGAAACCCAACUGCAUAAGCAGUUACUGUUAACUGAAUACAUAGGUUAACAGAGCAAACCGGGGGAACUGAAACAUCUAAGUACCCCGAGGAGAAGAAAUCAACCGAGAUUCCGGUAGUAGCGGCGAGCGAACCUGGAUUAGCCCUUAAGCACUCGGUGAAGUAGGUGAACAAGCUGGAAAGCUUGGCGAUACAGGGUGAUAGCCCCGUAACCGACGCUUCAUCGAGCGUGAAAUCGAGUAGGGCGGGACACGUGAUAUCCUGUCUGAAUAUGGGGGGACCAUCCUCCAAGGCUAAAUACUCCUGACUGACCGAUAGUGAACCAGUACCGUGAGGGAAAGGCGAAAAGAACCCCUGUGAGGGGAGUGAAAUAGAACCUGAAACCGUGUACGUACAAGCAGUAGGAGCACCUUCGUGGUGUGACUGCGUACCUUUUGUAUAAUGGGUCAGCGACUUAUAUUCAGUGGCAAGGUUAACCGUAUAGGGGAGCCGUAGCGAAAGCGAGUCUUAACUGGGCGCUCAGUCUCUGGAUAUAGACCCGAAACCGGGUGAUCUAGCCAUGGGCAGGUUGAAGGUUGAGUAACAUCAACUGGAGGACCGAACCGACUAAUGUUGAAAAAUUAGCGGAUGACUUGUGGCUAGGGGUGAAAGGCCAAUCAAACUCGGAGAUAGCUGGUUCUCCCCGAAAGCUAUUUAGGUAGCGCCUCGGACGAAUACUACUGGGGGUAGAGCACUGUUAAGGCUAGGGGGUCAUCCCGACUUACCAACCCUUUGCAAACUCCGAAUACCAGUAAGUACUAUCCGGGAGACACACGGCGGGUGCUAACGUCCGUCGUGGAGAGGGAAACAACCCAGACCGCCAGCUAAGGUCCCAAAGUAUUGCUAAGUGGGAAACGAUGUGGGAAGGCUCAGACAGCUAGGAUGUUGGCUUAGAAGCAGCCAUCAUUUAAAGAAAGCGUAAUAGCUCACUAGUCGAGUCGGCCUGCGCGGAAGAUGUAACGGGGCUAAGCAAUACACCGAAGCUGCGGCAAUGUCUUUUAGACAUUGGGUAGGGGAGCGUUCUGUAAGCCGUUGAAGGUGAAUCGUAAGGUUUGCUGGAGGUAUCAGAAGUGCGAAUGCUGACAUGAGUAACGACAAAGGGGGUGAAAAACCUCCUCGCCGGAAGACCAAGGGUUCCUGUCCAACGUUAAUCGGGGCAGGGUGAGUCGACCCCUAAGGUGAGGCCGAAAGGCGUAAUCGAUGGGAAACGGGUUAAUAUUCCCGUACUUCUGACUAUUGCGAUGGGGGGACGGAGAAGGCUAGGUGGGCCAGGCGACGGUUGUCCUGGUUCAAGUGCGUAGGCUUGAGAGUUAGGUAAAUCCGGCUCUCUCUAAGGCUGAGACACGACGUCGAGCUACUA
RNAcentral lists this ribosomal RNA (1505 nucleotides) under Vibrio cholerae. Its description in RNAcentral is "partial 23S ribosomal RNA". It matches the Rfam family "Bacterial large subunit ribosomal RNA", at positions 16 to 1579 of the family's 2925-position model. Lineage: Bacteria; Pseudomonadati; Pseudomonadota; Gammaproteobacteria; Vibrionales; Vibrionaceae. The record is from RNAcentral.